This 253-nucleotide ribosomal RNA is filed under the name uncultured bacterium. RNAcentral describes it as "partial 16S ribosomal RNA". It matches the Rfam family "Bacterial small subunit ribosomal RNA", at positions 524 to 776 of the family's 1533-position model. The record is from RNAcentral.
CACGUAGGAGACAAGCGUUAUCCGGAUUUACUGGGUGUAAAGCGCGUGCAGGCGGUUCAGUAAGUUGGAUGUGAAAGCUCCUGGCUUAACUGGGAGAGGUCGUUCAAGACUGCUGGACUAGAGGAUGGCAGAGGGGAGUGGAAUUCCGAGUGUAGCGGUAAAAUGCAUAGAUAUUCGGAAGAACACCAGUGGCGAAGGCGGCUCUCUGGGCCAUUACUGACGCUCAGACGCGAAAGCUAGGGUAGCAAACGGG